GAUGAAGAACGUAGCGAAAUGCGAUACGUAAUGUGAAUUGCAGAAUUCAGUGAAUCAUCGAAUCUUUGAACGCAUAUUGCGCUCUCUGGUAUUCCGGAGAGCAUGCUUGUUUGAGUAUCAGUAAACACCUCAACUCCCUUUUCUUUUUUGAAAUUGGAGCUGGACUUGAGUGAUCCCAACGCUUUCUUCCAAGAAAGUGGCGGGUUGCUUGAAAUGCAGGUGCAGCUGAACUUUUCUCUGGGCUAUAAGCAUAUCUAUUUAGUCUGCCUAAAAACAGAUUAUUACCUUUGCUGCAGCUAACAUAAAGGAGAUUAGUUCUUGUGCUGACUGAUGCAGGAUUCACAAAGACAGGCUUCGGCCGACUUUGUAAACUCGAUCUCAAAUCAAGUAAGACUACCCGCUGAACUUAAGCAUAUCGAUAAGCGGAGAA
Molecule: unclassified non-coding RNA, 430 nt
Filed under: soil metagenome
Description: partial contains 5.8S ribosomal RNA, internal transcribed spacer 2, and large subunit ribosomal RNA
Rfam family: 5.8S ribosomal RNA (bases 1-120)
Source: RNAcentral